Molecule: ribosomal RNA, 216 nt
Filed under: Campeiostachys nutans
Lineage: Eukaryota; Viridiplantae; Streptophyta; Magnoliopsida; Poales; Poaceae
Description: Elymus nutans partial small subunit ribosomal RNA
Rfam family: Eukaryotic small subunit ribosomal RNA (bases 37-216)
Source: RNAcentral
GGACCAUCAUGUCGGUCGUGCCUCGGUACGUACUGGUAUUGUUGGUUUCUCCCUUCUGACGAACCAUGAUGUCAUUAAUUUGGUGCGCCGGGGAAGCAGGACUGUUACCUUGAAAAAAUUAGAGUGCUUAAAGCAGGCUAUUGCCUGAAUACAUUAGCAUGGAAUAAUGAAAUAGGACGGCAUGGUUCUAUUUUGUUGGUUUCUAGGAUCACCGUA